RNAcentral lists this ribosomal RNA (402 nucleotides) under uncultured prokaryote. RNAcentral describes it as "bacterial SSU rRNA". It matches the Rfam family "Bacterial small subunit ribosomal RNA", at positions 355 to 774 of the family's 1533-position model. The record is from RNAcentral.
UAGGGAAUAUUAGAAAUGGACGAAAGUCUGAUCUAGCAACACCGCGUGUGCGAAGAAGGCCUUCGGGUUGUAAAGCACUUUUUGGAAGGAUUAGGAAGGAAUGUACUUCCAGAAUAAGUCUCGGCUAACUACGUGCCAGCAGCCGCGGUAAAACGUAGGAGGCAAACGUUAUCCGGAUUUACUGGGCGUAAAGCGCGUGUAGGUGGUUCUGUAAGUAGGGCGUGAAAGAUCCUGGCUCAACUGGGAGAGGCCGUUCUAAACUGCAGAGCUAGAGGAUGGUAGAGGGAGGUGGAAGUCCGGGUGUAGCGGUGGAAUGCGCAGAUAUCCGGAGGAACACCAGUGGCGAAAGCGGCCUCCUGGACCAUUCCUGACACUCAGACGCGAAAGCUAGGGUAGCAAACG